Molecule: small nucleolar RNA, 101 nt
Organism: Suncus etruscus (white-toothed pygmy shrew)
Lineage: Eukaryota; Metazoa; Chordata; Mammalia; Eulipotyphla; Soricidae
Product: small nucleolar RNA U13
Exons: 1
Source: RefSeq, a predicted model, not a curated record
AUCCUUUUCUGGUUCAUAAGCAUGAUGAUUGGAUUUUCACAUGCCUAUGUGAUAUGUGCCACCCUACAACCUUAUUACAUCGGCACAUGACCCUUCUGUCA